This 1778-nucleotide long non-coding RNA is filed under the name Gallus gallus (chicken). Its description in RNAcentral is "lncRNA (ENSGALG00010002718.1)". The record is from RNAcentral. Lineage: Eukaryota; Metazoa; Chordata; Aves; Galliformes; Phasianidae.
UCUCGAUGCUUUCACCUCCUCUGCCAAAUUGUUUCUGCAUCAAGAGAGAGGAGCAAAACCACUGUGGGGGGAAAACAGCAGUUAAGGCUCUUCGGUGAACAAGACUGCAGGCUUAGUCCCAAACGUGGGCAAUGGAGAUGGACUAAGAGAAGUGGAAGAAAGUGAUGUGGAGAGUCUGCAGUGGAGAAAGAGGUUCCUCUGGGGAGCAAUUUCAGACUGCUUACAUCCAGAUCUGCCAUGGAGCAGGGAAUUAGGAAAUCAGCCAGUCAAGGACGGCUUGGUUCUGACCUAACCCCUGAGAAUCAACCAGGUGGAGCCUGUGAUGGAUGUAUUCCUGCCCUUCUGCACCAGCUGAGCUCAUUUUGCUGUGCUGAAUUCAUGACAAGACAAGAAAGAUGACGUGAAACUAGUGAGGUCAAUAUGCCUUCUGCUGCAACUUCUGUUUGGGGUGCUGCAUGAAGAGGCUGAGCCUCCUGGACAGCACAGCUCCUGGGCUCCCACCCUCUCUGCACCUUCACAUCUGGUGUCACUCAGUGUGGAAAGGACUGGGCACUGCAUCACCACUUGCCUCAAGAGGGCUCCCAGCUUCCUUCCAGCAUCCUUGGAUGAGACAGAGACAGCAACCUGGCACAGAGAGAGGAUGAUCACAGCUGUAUGGCUGCUCAAGAAGCAUUGUUUUUCAAUGUGAAAGGUCAAGUGCUGAACUGCUAAACUCUUCUCUAUUCUUUGGGUCUACACAAAUGCUAGCCACAAGUGAGCAUCUUCUUCCAGGCGGUGCUCUGAUAGUACUAAUUUAACGUCAUGUCCUGACUGCAGUUGAGAAAGAGAAAAGGAAGAGUAAAAGCAAGAGAAACUUCUGAGUCAAGAAAGAAAUGUUUGGACAAAGAGAGAAAGAAAACAAAACAAGGAAACCUUUGAAGGAUGGAUGAACUGAAUGUGAGAGCAGGAGGAAGGAGGACAGCUGUCCCUUCUGCCACUGUGAAGCGGCUCUGGGGUGUAAAUGGAUCUGCUGACUGUGGAUGGAGGGUUGCUGUUUCAGGAGCAACUGCAAAUUCAGACACAUGAGAAUUGAUAAGCUGACACAAGCGGCCUUCCUCUGAAGAGCGGCCUUGCAGAAAGUCUGGGGAACCAGACAGAGGUUGAGAAGGCACCAAAGAGAGAUGGAUGCAAGGUGGCUGUGAGGCCUAUUGAUUCGAAAACCACCUUCCCCACAAAGCAGAGACGGAAAAGAAAAGCAGCAGAGAUUCAUCCAUCUGCUGCUAAGGACACAGAUGAGCCCCCAGCUAGAAAACUACCUAUGGUGAUUCUUGCUUCAGUCCCACCUGAAUACACCUUGGUCAGCACUGAAGUCAUAAAACUUCCAAGCAGUCUGGAACUGCUUCCAGGAACACAGGCAUACUCUGUGGCACAGUCAGAGGUCUCAAACUCAACAGCCCAUUCCUCACAAGAAGCAGAUAAGACGCAGCAGCUGAGCUGCACAGAGGCGGGGAAAGCACUCGUCUCUGAAGAUGAUGACCUUCAGAAGUUAUUGAUGGAAAUCACAGGAGAACUGGAAGGAGAAAAUGAUGUGGACGCUGAAAAGGGUGUGGAUGAGCUCCUUCUGGAACUGUCUGAGAUCACUGACAGCGUGAUACCACAGUCUGAUUGUAAUUUUUAAGACAAACAACAGCAACAACCAAUUAAAACCAACCCUGUUCCUUUUCAACCCUGUUCCUUUCCUUAUUCUGAGGGGACACUUUUUCUGAAACUUUGCAAUGAGUCUUAAAGCAGAGUCAAAC